GUCGACGUACUUCAUAGGAUCAUUUCUAUAGGUCACGUCCCUCUUUGACUCUUCAAAAGAGCCACUGAAUCCAACUUGGUUGAUGAGUGAGAUUACCCUUGUACCCUCAAAGUGAGAAAUAACAUGAAAUUUUUGCUUGACUGUGAUUCUUUGCAAUCUGGUCAUCUACUUAUAAUGUUUUGCCUUUGACUUGAUGCUAGCCUUUCUUUUUUGAAGGUAAUGCAGCUAUUAUAAAGGAGCGAUGAUCUUUACCCUUUUCAUUGUGCCUUCUAGGAGGAUUUUGAAUUGGGUGGGUACAAGUGGCUGUCUGACAAGU
Molecule: small nucleolar RNA, 316 nt
Organism: Candida albicans SC5314
Lineage: Eukaryota; Fungi; Ascomycota; Pichiomycetes; Serinales; Debaryomycetaceae
Rfam family: Fungal small nucleolar RNA U3
About the family: Small nucleolar RNAs (snoRNAs) are involved in the processing and modification of rRNA in the nucleolus. There are two main classes of snoRNAs: the box C/D class, and the box H/ACA class.
Source: Rfam